AUGCUAAAACAGACCUUGCAGGUUGAAGAUGUGGCUGGGGAAGAAGCCACAGGAGCUGUAGAAGUCAACAAAAUCUUUUCAGACCAAAAAGAAGAACCUACUUCAUCCAGUUGGCUUCAGUGCCCUGUGAGAAGCCUUCCUGAUUGAUGGAAAGAUGAGGCUAAAUUCUAGCAAGUUGAGUGGCUCCUUCAAGAAGCCUGUGUGCAGGAUAGAAGUGGAGAGGCCAUAGCCUCCAGCCUGGGCAGCCCAUUGGCACCUGGAGCCACCUCAACUUUGCCUCCCCUUUGCUCCUGUGUCUAUAAGCUGCCCAGCCCAGCCCAUCCUGGUUUCUCCUGUGUGUUCUGAGCUGAGAUUUCUCUGAGAUGGAAGCCCCAUCCCAUGUCUAAUAAAGACUCUUGAAUACUGAACA
This 409-nucleotide long non-coding RNA is filed under the name Bos mutus (wild yak). RNAcentral's name for it is "lncRNA (ENSBMUG00000014657.1)". The record is from RNAcentral. Lineage: Eukaryota; Metazoa; Chordata; Mammalia; Artiodactyla; Bovidae.